RNAcentral lists this ribosomal RNA (254 nucleotides) under uncultured bacterium. RNAcentral describes it as "partial 16S ribosomal RNA". It matches the Rfam family "Bacterial small subunit ribosomal RNA", at positions 524 to 776 of the family's 1533-position model. The record is from RNAcentral.
UACAGAGGUGGCAAGCGUUGUUCGGAAUUACUGGGCGUAAAGGGCGCGUAGGCGGUUCUGUAAGUCCCGCGUGAAAUCCCCCCGGCUCAACUGGGGAACUGCGCGGGAGACUGUGGGGCUAGAGUUCAGGAGAGGGAAGCGGAAUUCCGGGUGUAGCGGUGAAAUGCGUAGAUAUCCGGAGGAACACCGGUGGCGAAGGCGGCUUCCUGGACUGACACUGACGCUGAGGCGCGAAAGCAUGGGGAGCGAACAGG